GGAGUCGGCCAGGCAGUCGCGGCAUCGGCAACGGUGUCGAGGAAAGUCCGGGCUCCACAGGGCACGGUGCCAGGUAACGCCUGGGCGGCGCGAGCCGACGGAAAGUGCAACAGAGAGCAAACCGCCGAACGGCCCUGCCGCUGCGAGGGCACUGCCGGACGCAAGUCCGGCCAAGUGCCACCGCACCGCCGAAGGCGGAGGCAGGGUGCGUGGCAAGGGUGAAACGGUGCGGUAAGAGCGCACCGCGAGUCUGGCAACAGACCGGCACGGCAAACCCCACCGGGAGCAAGACCAAAUAGGGACCUCAUGGCGCGGCCCGCGUCGGGUCCGGGUAGGUUGCUUGAGCGCAUCGGUGACGGUGCGCCCAGAGGAAUGACUGUCCACGACAGAACCCGGCUUAUCGGCCGGCUCCGCAC
RNAcentral lists this RNase P RNA (416 nucleotides) under Gammaproteobacteria bacterium. RNAcentral's name for it is "RNase P RNA component class A". It matches the Rfam family "Bacterial RNase P class A". From Rfam's summary of the family: Ribonuclease P (RNase P) is a ubiquitous endoribonuclease, found in archaea, bacteria and eukarya as well as chloroplasts and mitochondria. Lineage: Bacteria; Pseudomonadati; Pseudomonadota; Gammaproteobacteria. The record is from RNAcentral.